AUACGUAGGGGACGAGCGUUGUCCGGAAUUACUGGGCGUAAAGGGCGCGCAGGCGGAUAUUUAAGUCAGCUGUAAAAGGCAUGAGCUCAACUCAUGUAUGCGGUUGAAACUGGGUAUCUAGAGUGCUGGAGAGGUAGGCGGAAUUCCCGGUGUAGCGGUGAAAUGCGUAGAUAUCGGGAAGAACACCAGUGGCGAAGGCGGCUUACUGGCCAGCAACUGACGCUGAGGCGCGAAAGCCAGGGGAGCGAACGGGAUUAGAUACCCCGGUAGUCCUGGCCGUGAACGAUGAAUGCUAGGUGUGGGUGUCGAGAGGCAUCCGUGCCGGAGUUAACGCGAUAAGCAUUCCGCCUGGGGAGUACGAUCGCAAGAUUGAAACUCAAAUGAAUUGACGGGG
RNAcentral lists this ribosomal RNA (394 nucleotides) under uncultured bacterium. RNAcentral describes it as "partial 16S ribosomal RNA". It matches the Rfam family "Bacterial small subunit ribosomal RNA", at positions 523 to 918 of the family's 1533-position model. The record is from RNAcentral.